UUGAACGCUGGCGGCAGGCCUAACACAUGCAAGUCGAGCGGAUGAAGGGAGCUUGCUCCUGGAUUCAGCGGCGGACGGGUGAGUAAUGCCUAGGAAUCUGCCUGGUAGUGGGGGAUAACGUCCGGAAACGGGCGCUAAUACCGCAUACGUCCUGAGGGAGAAAGUGGGGGAUCUUCGGACCUCACGCUAUCAGAUGAGCCUAGGUCGGAUUAGCUAGUUGGUGGGGUAAAGGCCUACCAAGGCGACGAUCCGUAACUGGUCUGAGAGGAUGAUCAGUCACACUGGAACUGAGACACGGUCCAGACUCCUACGGGAGGCAGCAGUGGGGAAUAUUGGACAAUGGGCGAAAGCCUGAUCCAGCCAUGCCGCGUGUGUGAAGAAGGUCUUCGGAUUGUAAAGCACUUUAAGUUGGGAGGAAGGGCAGUAAGUUAAUACCUUGCUGUUUUGACGUUACCAACAGAAAAGCACCGGCUAACUUCGUG
Molecule: ribosomal RNA, 482 nt
Filed under: uncultured bacterium
Lineage: Bacteria
Description: partial 16S ribosomal RNA
Rfam family: Bacterial small subunit ribosomal RNA
Source: RNAcentral